GACGAACGCUGGCGGCGUGCUUAACACAUGCAAGUCGAACGGUGAAGCUCCAGCUUGCUGGAGUGGAUCAGUGGCGAACGGGUGAGUAACACGUGAGCAACCUGCCCCUGACUCUGGAAUAAGCGCUGGAAACGGCGUCUAAUACUGGAUACGAGAAGGGUCCGCAUGGGCACUUUCUGUAAAGUUGUUCGGUUGGGGAUGGGCUCGCGGCUUAUCAGCUUGUUGGUGAGGUAAUGGCUCACGAAGGCGACGACGGGUAGCCGGCCUGAGAGGGCGACCGGCCACCCUGGGACUGAGACACGGCCCAGACGCCUACGGGAGGCAGCAGUGGGGAAUAUUGCACAAUGGGCGAAAGCCUGAUGCAGCGACGCCGCGUGAGGGAUGACGGCCUUCGGGUUGUAAACCUCUUUCAGCAGGGAAGAAGCGAAAGUGACGGUACCUGCAGAAGAAGCACCGGCUAACUACGUG
This 468-nucleotide ribosomal RNA is filed under the name uncultured bacterium. Its description in RNAcentral is "partial 16S ribosomal RNA". It matches the Rfam family "Bacterial small subunit ribosomal RNA", at positions 28 to 507 of the family's 1533-position model. The record is from RNAcentral.